AUGGCCUGGUGGAAAUUAUGUGUACCAAAAAAUCAAGGAGGGAUGGAAUUUCGUGAUAUUCACUGUUUUAAUUUGGCAUUGUUAGCCAAACAAGCAUGUCGUCUUCUGGAUAAUCCUGAUUCUUUGUGUGGUUCUAUUCUAAGGGCAAAAUAUUACCCCCAUGGCGAUGUGUUAAAUGCUAAGCUCAAGAGAGGUUCUUCAUUUACAUGGCAAAGCAUCAUGGCGGGCAUAAAUACUCUGAAACGUGGUUAUAUUUGGCGAGUGGGGAACGGACAUAACAUUAAUAUUUGGGAAGAUGCCUAG
This 303-nucleotide ribosomal RNA is filed under the name Triticum aestivum (bread wheat). RNAcentral describes it as "partial small subunit ribosomal RNA". The record is from RNAcentral. Lineage: Eukaryota; Viridiplantae; Streptophyta; Magnoliopsida; Poales; Poaceae.